AUUGAACGCUGGCGGCAUGCCUUACACAUGCAAGUCGAACGGUAACAGGUCUUCGGAUGCUGACGAGUGGCGCACGGGUGCGUAAUACAUCGGAACGUGCCCGCUCGUGGGGGAUAACGAGGCGAAAGCUUUGCUAAUACCGCAUACGAUCUACGGAUGAAAGCGGGGGAUUUUCGGACUUCGAGCGGACGGAGCGGCCGCUGGCGGAUUAGGUAGUUGGUGGGAUAAAAGCUUACCAAGCCGACGAUUUGUAGCUGAUCUGAGAGGAUGAUCAGCCACACUGGGACUGAGACACGGCCCAGACUCCUACGGGAGGCAGCAGUAGGGAAUUUUGGACAAUGGGCGAAAGCCUGAUCCAGCCAUGCCGCGUGCAGGAUGAAGGCCUUCGGGUUGUAAACUGCUUUUGUACGGAACGAAAAGCCUCUUUCUAAUAAAGAGGGGUCAUGACGGUACCGUAAGAAUAAGCACCGGCUAACUACGUG
This 482-nucleotide ribosomal RNA is filed under the name uncultured bacterium. RNAcentral describes it as "partial 16S ribosomal RNA". It matches the Rfam family "Bacterial small subunit ribosomal RNA", at positions 30 to 507 of the family's 1533-position model. The record is from RNAcentral.